This 440-nucleotide non-coding RNA is filed under the name Homo sapiens (human). Lineage: Eukaryota; Metazoa; Chordata; Mammalia; Primates; Hominidae. The record is from RNAcentral.
GAACUUUCAGAAAAUGAAGUGGUUGGAUCUUAUUUCUCUGUGAAGUCUCUCUUUUGGAGGACGUGCGGCAGGCCAGCUCUUCCUGUCCUGGGCUUCUGCAGAGCAGAGCUUCAGAAUCCUUAUUGCAAAAAUGUACAAUUUCAGACCCAAAGUUUACGCCUAUCAGACCUACACAGAAAAUCGCAUCUUUGGAGAGGAAUAGUCAGCAUCACCUUGAUUGAAGGGAGAGACCUCAAGGCCAUGGAUUCCAACGGGUUGAGCGAUCCCUACGUGAAGUUCCGGCUUGGGCAUCAGAAGUACAAGAGCAAGAUUAUGCCAAAAACGUUGAAUCCUCAGUGGAGGGAACAAUUUGAUUUUCACCUUUAUGAAGAAAGAGGAGGAGUCAUUGAUAUCACUGCAUGGGACAAAGAUGCUGGGAAAAGGGAUGAUUUCAUUGGCAG